This is a long non-coding RNA of Phascolarctos cinereus (koala), 564 nucleotides long. RefSeq lists it as uncharacterized. The record is from RefSeq and is a predicted model, not a curated record. NCBI's taxonomy places the organism in Eukaryota, Metazoa, Chordata, Mammalia, Diprotodontia, Phascolarctidae.
AGAGGGCAGAGACUUGGGGUACACUCACUGUUGGGGCACAUUAUGUGGCUAAUGAGCCAGCAAAGCAGAUACAGAAAGAAUGGCUGGUAGCAGAUUGUUCCCAGUAAAGCUAUCCUGCUUCUUCCAGAGAAGAAAGGGACUGACAUGUGGACUACCUUUUCCGGGAACUGUGGUUUAUGGGGCAACCUGUCCUUGGUGCAAGUCAGAGGGGUGGUAGGAGACAAGGAUCCAUGAUGGUUGUGGCCCAUUAUCCUUUGGAAACUCCUCCCCUUUAUGUCAUGCUAUGGGAAUUCACCCCACCCACUCUUAGGAAGUUGUACAACACUCUCCAGGCUGCUGAGGGCAUCUGGAAGAGGAGGAGAGAGAUCAGGAAACAAGAGCCCUUGGCUCAAAGAGCUACAGAGAAGCAAGGGGUUCUAGAGCCAAGUAACUGGUGUUGGCUGUGGGCUGGGGCAACAAAGAAGAAUCAUCACUUGCUGAAGCUCUGGGUUGCUCUUUGAUGGAUGUGUCCCUGGCGUGAGUUUGCUCCCUGUCCUCCAAGAGGGCUUGGGCUAGCUGCCCCCG